Molecule: ribosomal RNA, 440 nt
Filed under: uncultured bacterium
Lineage: Bacteria
Description: partial 16S ribosomal RNA
Rfam family: Bacterial small subunit ribosomal RNA
Source: RNAcentral
CCUACGUGAGGCAGCAGUGGGGAAUAUUGCACAAUGGGGGAAACCCUGAUGCAGCGACGCCGCGUGAGUGAGGAAGUAUUUCGGUAUGUAAAGCUCUAUCAGCAGGGAAGAAAAUGACGGUACCUGACUAAGAAGCCCCGGCUAACUACGUGCCAGCAGCCGCGGUAAUACGUAGGGGGCAAGCGUUAUCCGGAUUUACUGGGUGUAAAGGGAGCGUAGACGGCUAGUCAAGUCAGAAGUGAAAGCCCAGGGCUCAACCUUGGGACUGCUUUUGAAACUGAGUAGCUAGAGUGCAGGAGAGGUAAGCGGAAUUCCUAGUGGAGCGGUGAAAUGCGUAGAUAUUAGGAGGAACACCGAUUGCGAAGGCAGCUUACCAAACUACGACUGACGUUGAGGCACGAAAGCGUGGGGAGCAAACAGGAUUAGAUACCCCAGUAGUC